RNAcentral lists this ribosomal RNA (278 nucleotides) under uncultured bacterium. RNAcentral's name for it is "partial 16S ribosomal RNA". It matches the Rfam family "Bacterial small subunit ribosomal RNA", at positions 29 to 334 of the family's 1533-position model. The record is from RNAcentral.
AACGAACGCUGGCGGCAUGCCUAACACAUGCAAGUCGAACGAGACCUUCGGGUCUAGUGGCGCACGGGUGCGUAACGCGUGGGAAUCUGCCCUUGGGUUCGGAAUAACUCGCCGAAAGGCGUGCUAAUACCGGAUGAUGACGUAAGACCAAAGAUUUAUCGCUUUAAGAUUGGCCCAUGGCAGAUUAGGUAGUUGGUGGGGUAAAGGCCUACCAAGCCGACGAUCUGUAGCUGGUCUGAGAGGACGAUCAGCCACAUUGGGACUGAGACACGGCCCAG